This 624-nucleotide ribosomal RNA is filed under the name uncultured Actinomycetes bacterium. RNAcentral's name for it is "bacterial SSU rRNA". It matches the Rfam family "Bacterial small subunit ribosomal RNA", at positions 253 to 886 of the family's 1533-position model. The record is from RNAcentral. Lineage: Bacteria; Bacillati; Actinomycetota; Actinomycetes.
UGGGGUAGUGGCCUACCAAGGCGACGACGGGUAGCCGGCCUGAGAGGGCGACCGGCCACACUGGGACUGAGACACGGCCCAGACUCCUACGGGAGGCAGCAGUGGGGAAUAUUGCGCAAUGGGCGAAAGCCUGACGCAGCGACGCCGCGUGAGGGACGACGGCCUUCGGGUUGUAAACCUCUUUCAGCAGGGACGAAGCGAAAGUGACGGUACCUGCAGAAGAAGCACCGGCCAACUACGUGCCAGCAGCCGCGGUAAUACGUAGGGUGCAAGCGUUGUCCGGAAUUAUUGGGCGUAAAGGGCUCGUAGGCGGUCUGUCGCGUCGGAUGUGAAAACUCGGGGCUCAACCCCGAGCCUGCAUUCGAUACGGGCAGACUUGAGUUCGGCAGGGGAGACUGGAAUUCCUGGUGUAGCGGUGAAAUGCGCAGAUAUCAGGAGGAACACCGGUGGCGAAGGCGGGUCUCUGGGCCGAUACUGACGCUGAGGAGCGAAAGCGUGGGGAGCGAACAGGAUUAGAUACCCUGGUAGUCCACGCCGUAAACGGUGGGUGCUAGGUGUGGGGAACUUUCCACGUUCUCCGUGCCGCAGCUAACGCAUUAAAGCACCCCGCCUGGGGAGUACGGA